UACGUAGGGUGCGAGCGUUAAUCGGAAUUGCUGGGCGUAAAGCGUGCGCAGGCGGUGAUGUAAGACCGAUGUGAAAUCCCCCGGGCUUAACCUGGGAACUGCAUUGGUGACUGCAUUGCUGGAGUAUGGCAGAGGGGGGUGGAAUUCCACGUGUAGCAGUGAAAUGCGUAGAGAUGUGGAGGAACACCGAUGGCGAAGGCAGCCCCCUGGGCCAAUACUGACGCUCAUGCACGAAGCGUGGGAGCAACAGG
Molecule: ribosomal RNA, 251 nt
Filed under: uncultured bacterium
Lineage: Bacteria
Description: partial 16S ribosomal RNA
Rfam family: Bacterial small subunit ribosomal RNA
Source: RNAcentral